GGACCCGUAGCUCAGCUGGAUAGAGCGCUGCCCUCCGAAGGCAGAGGUCGCGCGUUCGAAUCGCGCCGGGUCCACCA
Molecule: transfer RNA, 77 nt
Filed under: Saccharibacter sp. 17.LH.SD
Lineage: Bacteria; Pseudomonadati; Pseudomonadota; Alphaproteobacteria; Acetobacterales; Acetobacteraceae
Description: tRNA-Arg
Rfam family: tRNA
About the family: Transfer RNA (tRNA) molecules are approximately 80 nucleotides in length. Their secondary structure includes four short double-helical elements and three loops (D, anti-codon, and T loops).
Source: RNAcentral